Arachis ipaensis is the source of this 836-nucleotide non-coding RNA. Lineage: Eukaryota; Viridiplantae; Streptophyta; Magnoliopsida; Fabales; Fabaceae. The record is from RefSeq and is a predicted model, not a curated record.
AAACCCUAGCCUCCAUCGUCAAUCAUCCCCUUUCCCUGUUUCCUUCCCAAACCUUUUGGCCAUGAGAGACCAUCAUGAGAGCUGAGAGAUAGAGAGUCUAAGUCUCUGAGACAUUGAGUGUGAGAAAGAGGGAGACCCGUUCAGCCAGCGUGGCAGCGCCAUUUCACCUAGCUCACCGUCGUCGCUGGAGGCAACCACACCAGUGCGCCACUCACCACAGCCAAGAAGCACCUUCAUCGAAGAUUCAAGUCGCCUCCUGCUAUUACUACUACUCGUCGCCUACUGCCUCCUGCUCGUCAGUCGUCACCUCCAGUCUCCCUCUUCUCUGCUCGUCCCUCCAUCCCUCCAAAUUAUGUUUAUGACAUGGAGAAAGCCUUAAUCGGUUCUAUCUUCUAAGCUUUAUCCUGCGGAUAAGGAGCUGGUAAAUUCUGCAAUUGAUAAGGCUAAAACUCUGCUUGAUGAUGGUAACAAGGAGAAGAAAGAAACUGAUGUGUUUGUGGAGUAUCUUACUGAAGGUCUGAAGCUAAGCUUGUCUUUGAGCCCAUUAUAGCUAAGACUGGGAUGAAGAGGUCCAGAGAUGAUGUUUACAUGAGUUCUCAGCUCAAACGGCCUAUGGUAUCUUCUAGAGGAGAACCGGACUAUUCAUGGAUUGUGGUGGUGUUGGAGGCAAUCUAAGCUCUGUUUUAUUUGCAGUUGUGUAAGGCAGAUAUCCAAAUCUUGUGAACGUGAUUUUUGCUCGGUCAUAAAGGACACUGCUUUGAUUUUUAGACCAAGUUGUUCAUGGAUACCAUUGAUUGUUCUAAAUUUUAAUGAUUUUUAGACCAAGUAUAUAACCU